This 464-nucleotide ribosomal RNA is filed under the name uncultured bacterium. RNAcentral's name for it is "partial 16S ribosomal RNA". It matches the Rfam family "Bacterial small subunit ribosomal RNA", at positions 339 to 795 of the family's 1533-position model. The record is from RNAcentral.
CUACGGGUGGCAGCAGUGGGGAAUAUUGCACAAUGGGCGCAAGCCUGAUACAGCCAUGCCGCGUGUAUGAAGAAGGCCUUCGGGUUGUAAAGUACUUUCAGCGGGGAGGAAGGGAGUAAAGUUAAUACCUUUGCUCAUUGACGUUACCCGCAGAAGAAGCACCGGCUAACUCCGUGCCAGCAGCCGCGGUAAUACGGAGGGUGCAAGCGUUAAUCGGAAUUACUGGGCGUAAAGCGCACGCAGGCGGUUUGUUAAGUCAGAUGUGAAAUCCCCGGGCUCAACCUGGGAACGGCAUCUGAUACUGGCAAGCUUGAGUCUCGUAGAGGGGGGUAGAAUUCCAGGUGUAGCGGUGAAAUGCGUAGAGAUCUGGAGGAAUACCGGUGGCGAAGGCGGCCCCCUGGACGAAGACUGACGCUCAGGUGCGAAAGCGUGGGGAGCAAACAGGAUUAGAUACCCUAGUAGUC